AAUGGGACAAAAAACUUAAAUGAGCAUUACACAUCAUUAUGCAGUUUAGCUGCAAUAACCAAACGUAAUGCAGGGGUAAAGGCCGAACAAAUGUCAAACUGAUCUCUAUUACUUACGAUGUUUCAUGAAGUUUUUAAAUUAGCGGGGUAGUUGUUUUAUUAAUAUUGUAAAUUCCCCAAUCAUUUUGAAAAUGCUUUACAACUCAAGGAAACAAAGUGAAGUAGUAACAAGGCAUUAAUGCAAAUACAUUGAAAUUUUAUUCUAGCUCAUGAAACAUCCCACAAAUUUGUUAGCCCUAGAGAUGUUAAAUUCUCUAUUUAAGAUAGAGAAGAAAGUGGUACCAUGGAAUUUACAAUUAUACAAUGAUUAAAUAGUCGGUCAGCCCUGGCUUGAAUGACAGUUCUGUUCCCGGUGUGUUCAUAAGUAAAUGUGUUGUUCACGAAAACAUUAUGGCACCCUUUUCCCAAGGCCACAAGGGCCCGACAACUAAAGUCAUCAAUUUUCUUCCCUUUGAAAAUAUAGUUGUAGACGUCGAAUGCAUACUUUAUGCUGAAAUGUUUUUUGCACUCAACCACGGCCGGCGAGUCAUCUAGAUGCGCCAUCGUUGAAAGUGCACAAAUCACCAAAAGUAAAAUAACCGCAAUUGGACACAUGUUUAGUCCGGCCAUAUUGGUGGAAAGAAUUAGUAGCUUUUGAUUUUCUUAGAAAAUGAUCGCUUAGAUGGAGUUAAACUUUGACGAAAUGGUGUUCUACACUUAUAAGGGAUGAGGCAAAGCUGCGAGUUAUUUGUAAAAUGAAAAACGCAUUUUCUUUUAAAACUACUUUAGCAACGUAUUUAAUGAUGUGAGGUAUCAAAUACGAGGGUUUCUAAUUUGGUAUUUAUUUUGGUACGAUAAACGCAACUUACAAGUUCCCAUAAAUUGUUUAAUUAAUCUCAACAAUCACAUAACUAUUUAUUAUUUCGCACAAAAAUUACUUGUUUGUAAAUUCGUACACUAACUAGUUUAUUACAAUAGAAUUGCAGAAAUCGUGAACUGAACUUGCAUGUCGUGUUAGUGACCAUCGUUACGUGAAAAAGAGACGGCAAGUAGGAAAAAGAAUGCGACUAGCCUUAAUUGUUCUGCAGUAAAUGGACAAAUGUAUUUCUCUGCAUUAUUAUUCCUACUUUAUCAAAACGAAAAUGGGACAAAAGAGAUUAAAUUUGUUAAGAAGUGAAGAACUGUUGAAGUACAAUAGAUUCAGUAAAUGAGCACUCAUUUCUUGGUAAACUCAUUUUUGCACAAAUAUUAUAUCACACUCUAUUGCGCAUGGUACAGUACUCAUGCCCUACAC
Molecule: long non-coding RNA, 1332 nt
Filed under: Malus domestica (apple)
Lineage: Eukaryota; Viridiplantae; Streptophyta; Magnoliopsida; Rosales; Rosaceae
Description: long non-coding RNA (MDOM_LNC003320)
Source: RNAcentral